CCUACGGGAGGCAGCAGUAGGGAAUCUUUCACAAUGGGCGAAAGCCUGAUGGAGCAACGCCGCGUGCAGGAUGAAGGCCUUCGGGUUGUAAACUGCUGUUAUAAGCGAGAAAUAUGAUGGUAACUUAUGAAUAACGAUCGGCUAACUACGUGCCAGCAGCCGCGGUCAUACGUAGGAUCCGAGCAUUAUCCGGAGUGGCUGGGUGUAAAGAGUUGCGUAGGUGGGAUAAUAAGUAGCUAGUGAAAACUGGUGGCUCAACCAUUCAGACUAUUAGCUAAACUGUUAAGCUCGAGACCGUUAGGGGUAACUGGAAUUUCUAGUGUAGGAGUGAAAUGCGUAGAUAUUAGAAGGAACACCAGUGGCGUAGGCAGGUUACUGGGACGGUUCUGACACUAAGGCACGAAAGCGUAGGGAGCAAACGGGAUUAGAUACCCCUGUAGUC
Molecule: ribosomal RNA, 442 nt
Filed under: uncultured bacterium
Lineage: Bacteria
Description: partial 16S ribosomal RNA
Rfam family: Bacterial small subunit ribosomal RNA
Source: RNAcentral